UUGAAACUUCUAGGGGCGAUUCGGGUGAUGCUCCGGCGGCAACGCCGUUGAUGCCGAUCCUGUUUCGCCCCGUCCACACCCACACCCCUGUGCACCUUUGGGUUUGGUCCUCGCUGGAUAACGGCCUGGCCAUCCCGUUUUUACAAACUCAGUCUAUAGAACGUGACCCGAGCCACGGCUCGUUAAAACAAAAUA
Molecule: unclassified non-coding RNA, 195 nt
Filed under: uncultured Trechispora
Lineage: Eukaryota; Fungi; Basidiomycota; Agaricomycetes; Polyporales; Polyporaceae
Description: sequence contains ITS1
Source: RNAcentral